CUCUAGAUGGGAUCUGUAGAUUGAUGAAGGCUAUCUGGAGCUGUUAAGUUAUCCUGCAGUGCUCUGACUUUUGUCCUCACGUUCUUUCAGAUGCAGCCAGAUGGAAUCCGUGGCAGAGGGCCCCGUCCCGGGUGAGGGGGGUCCCGCGAGAAGGAACUAAAGCCAGAUACUAGCGGUCAAGGCGGUCCGCUUCUGUUACAACGAGACCACAUCCACAAGUGGCCAAUGGACCCCGGUUUUCACUUCUGUGGGAAUUGAUAUUGUGAAUUAAAUUUUUUUUGGAAUGUGUGGGUAUUUUGUGUUGUUUUUGAUAUAUUAUUGUUUUAAAUUAUAGGUGUCAUAUUUUGAGGUAACUUCUUUGUGGUUUCAGGUUUUUUUUUUGUUUGUUUAUUUUUUUGUAUGUAAUUAUUUUUCAUGGAUUUAUUUUUAAUGUCUUUUGUAAUUUGUAGUAUUGUAAUUUAAUUGUCAUUUGGGAUAAGAGUGUAUAAAUGUUAUUUUUUGUUUAUGUUAUGUGGAGGAAUUUUUGUAUUUACUGUUUGAAUUCUGUGAGGGAUAAGGUUAGAUGUGAAGAGGUAUACUUAACAAGGCAUUUAGAAAAUAGAUUUUUAGGAUUGGUGACCAAUAAACAUGGUGUGUUUGUA
Long non-coding RNA from Vidua chalybeata, 641 nucleotides. RefSeq lists it as uncharacterized. Lineage: Eukaryota; Metazoa; Chordata; Aves; Passeriformes; Viduidae. The record is from RefSeq and is a predicted model, not a curated record. The transcript is spliced from 3 exons.